UGACAGAUACAUAUAACGUUAGAUUUGG
This 28-nucleotide small RNA is filed under the name Bombyx mori (domestic silkworm). Its description in RNAcentral is "ovarian small RNA-31383". Lineage: Eukaryota; Metazoa; Arthropoda; Insecta; Lepidoptera; Bombycidae. The record is from RNAcentral.